Small nuclear RNA from Molossus molossus (Pallas's mastiff bat), 104 nucleotides. NCBI's taxonomy places the organism in Eukaryota, Metazoa, Chordata, Mammalia, Chiroptera, Molossidae. The record is from RefSeq and is a predicted model, not a curated record.
GCCUGUUUUGGCAGCACACAUACUAUUAACUGGAAUGAUAUAGAAAUUAGCAUGGCCCCCUGCACAAGGAUAAUACACAAAUUUGUGAAGUGUUCCAUAUUUUU